UUCUUCGAAAAAAAUAUUUAAAAAAAUCAAUUAACUAAAAGGAACUCGGCAAAUUUAGUUGCUUCGCCUGUUUAUCAAAAACAUGGCUCUCUGCUUAUAUAUAUAGAGAGUCGAGCCUGCCCAGUGAAUUUUUCAACGGCCGCGGUACUCUGACCGUGCAAAGGUAGCAUAAUCAUUUGCCUUAUAAUUGAAGGCUAGUAUGAAUGGUUUGACGAGAGCAACGCUGUCUCUUUUUUAUUUUCAAGAACUUAACUUUUAGGUGAAGAGGCCUAAAUUUUAUUGAAGGACAAGAAGACCCUGUCGAGCUUAAAAGAUACUAUAGAAGUUUAUAUAUUUUUAAAUAAAUUUUCUAUUAAGCUUUUUAGUUGGGGCGACUAAGGAACAAAAAAAGCUUCUUGUUAAUAUUAAACGGUCACGUUUAGAUCCGGUAAUAAUCGAUUAAAGAAAUUAGUUACCGCAGGGAUAACAGCAUAAUCUCUCUUGAGAGACCUAAUCGAAAGAGGGGGUUGUGACCUCGAUGUUGGACUAGAAUAUCCUAAAGAUGUA
Molecule: ribosomal RNA, 546 nt
Filed under: Hua telonaria
Lineage: Eukaryota; Metazoa; Mollusca; Gastropoda; Semisulcospiridae
Description: partial large subunit ribosomal RNA
Rfam family: Bacterial large subunit ribosomal RNA
Source: RNAcentral